RNAcentral lists this long non-coding RNA (1027 nucleotides) under Brassica napus (rape). RNAcentral describes it as "long non-coding RNA (BNAP_LNC007303)". The record is from RNAcentral. Lineage: Eukaryota; Viridiplantae; Streptophyta; Magnoliopsida; Brassicales; Brassicaceae.
UUCCUUAAAUAGAAUUUUUGAGAAUUUUAUCUAAAAUAUACAACCUAUUGAUAAAAAAAUCUUAAAAAUACUCAUCUAUCAACAAAAAUUCUUGUUAUCCUAAUUUCUAAAUCACAACUUCAAAUCUACAAUAUUUCUAAUAAAAAUGAAAACUUUCCUAAAAUGGAAUUUUUGAGAAUUAUUUUCAAAAAAAUACAACUAUUGAUCAAAAAAUCUAAAAGAAUACACAUAUAUCAACAAAAAAUUUUGUUAUCAAAAUUUCUAAAUCUGAACCCAAAAACUACAAUAGUUCUCAAUAAAAAUAAAAACUUUCCUUAAAUAGAGUUUUAGACAAUUUAUCUAAAAUAUACAACCUAUUAAUAAAAAAAUCUUGAAGAAUACGCAUCUAUCAACAAAAAUUCCUAUUAUCCUAAUUUCUAAAUCAGAACCUCAAAACUACAAUAGUUCCCAAUUAAAAUAAAAACUUUUUUUAAAUAGAAGUUUUUGAGAAUUUUAUCUAAAAUAUACAACCUAUUGAUAAAACAAAAAUCUCAAAAAAUACUCAUCUAUCAACAAAAAUUAUUGUUAUCCUAAUUUCUACAUCACAACCCCAAAUCUACAAAGUUUCUGUAAAAAAUUAAAACUUUCCUAAAAUAGAAUUUUUGAGAAUUACUUUAAAAAAAUACAACUAUUGAUAAAAAAAAUCUAAAUGAAUAUUCAUCUAUAAACAAAAAAUUCUUGUUGUCCAAAUUUCUAAAUCAAAACCCCAAAUCCACACUAUUAUUCCCAAAAAUGAAAACUUUCCAAAAAUAGAAUUUUUGAGAAUUUUAUCUAAAGUAUACAACCUAUUGAUCAAAACUUUUAAAAGAAUACUCAUAUAUCAACAAAAAAAUUUUGUUAUCCUAAUUUCUAAAUCAGAACCUCAAAACUACAAUAGUUCUCAAUAAAAAUAAAAACUUUCCUUAAAUAGAAUUUUUGAGAAUUUUAUCUAAAAUAUAAAACCUAUUGAUAAAAAAAUCUUAAAAAAUACUCAUCUAUCAACAAAAAU